GGUUUCCAUCAGGGCUUUCUCCCCACCAGAUGGAUCGAAUUGGGUGAUCAACCUAGGUAAGCUUCCUCUGGACUCUAAUGGAUUCAAGGGUUUUGCUGCUUUGUGAUGUUCUUCCUUGAUGCUGGACUUGUGGGAAGCAUCGGAUCAACUUCUUGGUGGAUUCUUAGUGAGCAUAUCACUGCCUCUUUACUUCUUGUAGCUGUUGGGGUCUUGAUUGAGAGGUGGGGAUCGAUUUAGGUGUAUUUGUAGCUGCUGGACAGUGGGGGUAGGGUUGUGGGGUACUGGAUUUGGCUGCUCUAUCUCAAGGACUACCUUGGGAGCUAUCGGGCAGAGGUUGUUGGAUUGGGAGCUACUGAAUUUCUGUUAAAACCUCAUGGACUUGGAUUCGGGACGAGCGUCUCAACGUGGGAUUUUCGGACACGAGCUACGUAUUAAGGCGGGU
Long non-coding RNA from Zingiber officinale, 442 nucleotides. RefSeq lists it as uncharacterized. The record is from RefSeq and is a predicted model, not a curated record. NCBI's taxonomy places the organism in Eukaryota, Viridiplantae, Streptophyta, Magnoliopsida, Zingiberales, Zingiberaceae. The transcript has 4 exons.